Molecule: ribosomal RNA, 552 nt
Filed under: uncultured crenarchaeote
Lineage: Archaea; Thermoproteati; Thermoproteota
Description: bacterial SSU rRNA
Rfam family: Archaeal small subunit ribosomal RNA
Source: RNAcentral
ACGGGGUGCACCAGGGGCGAAACCUCCACAAUGCGCGAAAGCGUGAUGGGGUUACCCCGAGUGCCGUCCGUUGAGGAGGGCUUUUCCUCAGUGUAAGGAGCUGGGGGAAUAAAGGGGGGGCAAGACUGGUGUCAGCCGCCGCGGUAAUACCAGCCCCCUGAGUGAUAGGGACGAUUAUUUAGCCUAAAGUGUCUGUAGCCGGCUUAGUAAGUCUCUCGUUAAAUCUGGCGACUUAAUCGUCCAGGCCGCGGGAGAUACUGCUUGGCUAGAGGGCGGGAGAGGUUGACGGUAUUCCCGGAGUAGGGGUGAAAUCCUAUAAUCCCGGGAGGACUACCAGUGGCGAAGGCGGUCAACUGGAACGCGCCUGACGGUGAUGGACGAAAGCUGGGGGAGCGAACCGGAUUGACACCCGGGUAGUCCCAGCCGUGAGCGAUGCGGGCUAGGUGUUGGUGCAGCUACGGGCUGUACCAGUGCCGCAGAGAAGUUAUUAAGCCCGCCGCCUGGGGAGUACGGUCGCAAGGCUGAAACUUAAAGGAAUUGGCGGGGGAGCAC